GUUUGAUCCUGGCUCAGGAUGAACGCUGGCGGCGUGCCUAAUACAUGCAAGUCGAACGAGGCGCUUUUUGUAGCAAUACGAGGAGCGUCCUAGUGGCGAACGGGUGAGUAACGCGUGGGUGACCUGCCCCAAAGUGUGGGAUAACAGUCCGAAAGGAUUGCUAAUACCGCAUGUGGUCGCUGAGUUUAGAAGUUAGCGACUAAAGCAGCAAUGCGCUUUGGGAGGGACCUGCGUCCCAUCAGCUAGUUGGUAAGGUAACGGCUUACCAAGGCGACGACGGGUAGGGGACCUGAGAGGGUGGCCCCCCACAAUGGAACUGAAACACGGUCCAUACACCUACGGGUGGCAGCAGUAGGGAAUAUUGCACAAUGGGCGAAAGCCUGAUGCAGCAACGCCGCGUGCGCGAAGAAGGUCUUCGGAUCGUAAAGCGCUUUUCUGGGAGAUGAGAAAGGACAGUAUCCCAGGAAUAAGUCUCGGCUAACUACGUGCCAGCAGCCGCGGUAACACGUAGGAGGCGAGCGUUAUCCGGAUUCACUGGGCGUAAAGCGCGUGCAGGCGGUUCGGUAAGUUGGGCGUGAAAUCUCCCGGCUCAACUGGGAGAGGUCGUUCAAUACUACCGGACUUGAGAGCGAUAGAGGAAAAUGGAAUUCCCGGUGUAGUGGUGAAAUGCGUAGAUAUCGGGAGGAACACCAGUGGCGAAAGCGAUUUUCUGGAUCGUUUCUGACGCUCAGACGCGAAAGCUAGGGUAGCAAACGGGAUUAGAGACCCCGGUAGUCCUAGCCGUAAACGAUGUGAACUUGGCGUCGGUGGCUUAAACUCCAUCGGUGCCGAAGCCAACGCGAUAAGUUCACCGCCUGGGGACUACGACCGCAAGGUUAAAACUCAAAGGAAUUGACGGGGGCCCGCACAAGCAGCGGAGCGUGUGGUUUAAUUCGAUGCUACACGAAGACCUUACUCGGGUUUGACAUACAG
RNAcentral lists this ribosomal RNA (972 nucleotides) under bacterium enrichment culture clone 1.14. Its description in RNAcentral is "bacterial SSU rRNA". It matches the Rfam family "Bacterial small subunit ribosomal RNA", at positions 11 to 991 of the family's 1533-position model. The record is from RNAcentral.